UACGUAGGGUGCGAGCGUUGUCCGGAAUUAUUGGGCGUAAAGGGCUCGUAGGCGGUUUGUCGCGUCGGGAGUGAAAUCCACUGGCUUAACUGGUGGCUUGCUUCGAUACGGCAGACUGGAGGUAUGCAGGGGAGAACGGAAUUCCUGGUGUAGCGGUGAAAUGCGCAGAUAUCAGGAGGAACACCGGUGGCGAAGGCGGUUCUCUGGGCAUGUCCUGACGCUGAGGAGCGAAAGUGUGGGAGCGAACAGG
This 250-nucleotide ribosomal RNA is filed under the name uncultured bacterium. Its description in RNAcentral is "partial 16S ribosomal RNA". It matches the Rfam family "Bacterial small subunit ribosomal RNA", at positions 524 to 776 of the family's 1533-position model. The record is from RNAcentral.